AACGAACGCUGGCGGCAUGCCUAACACAUGCAAGUCGAACGAGACCUUCGGGUCUAGUGGCGCACGGGUGCGUAACGCGUGGGAACCUGCCCUUAGGUUCGGAAUAACUCCCCGAAAGGGGUGCUAAUACCGGAUAAUGUCUUCGGACCAAAGAUUUAUCGCCUUUGGAUGGGCACGCGUUGGAUUAGCUAGUUGGUAGGGUAAAAGCCUACCAAGGCGACGAUUCAUAGCUGGUCUGAGAGGAUGAUCAGCCACACUGGGAAUGAGACACGGCCCAGACUCCUACGGGAAGCAGCAGGGGGGAAUAUUGGACAAUGGGCGAAAGCCUGAUCCAGCAAUGCCGCGUGAGUGAUGAAGGCCUUAGGGUUGUAAAGCUCUUUUACCCGGGAUGAUAAUGACAGUACCGGGAGAAUAAGCUCCGGCUAACUCCGUG
This 433-nucleotide ribosomal RNA is filed under the name uncultured bacterium. Its description in RNAcentral is "partial 16S ribosomal RNA". It matches the Rfam family "Bacterial small subunit ribosomal RNA", at positions 29 to 507 of the family's 1533-position model. The record is from RNAcentral.